AAUCGCGUCCAUGCGUGCAGCUAACCGGUACUAAUGAACCGUGAGGCUUAACCUUACAACGCCGAAG
Molecule: ribosomal RNA, 67 nt
Filed under: Shigella sonnei
Lineage: Bacteria; Pseudomonadati; Pseudomonadota; Gammaproteobacteria; Enterobacterales; Enterobacteriaceae
Description: partial 23S ribosomal RNA
Source: RNAcentral